GAUGAAGAACGUAGCGAAAUGCGAUAAGUAAUGUGAAUUGCAGAAUUCAGUGAAUCAUCGAAUCUUUGAACGCACAUUGCGCCCGCCAGUAUUCUGGCGGGCAUGCCUGUUCGAGCGUCAUUUCAACCAUCAAGCCCCCCGGCUUGUGUUGGGGACCUGCGGCUGCCGCAGGCCCUGAAAAGCAGUGGCGGGCUCGCUGUCACACCGAGCGUAGUAGAUCUCAUCUCGCUCAGGGCGUGCUGCGGGUUCCGGCCGUUAAACCACCUUCAUAACCCAAGGUUGACCUCGGAUCAGGUAGGAAGACCCGCUGAACUUGAGCAUAUCAAUAAGCGGAGGA
This 337-nucleotide unclassified non-coding RNA is filed under the name soil metagenome. Its description in RNAcentral is "partial contains 5.8S ribosomal RNA, internal transcribed spacer 2, and large subunit ribosomal RNA". The stretch from base 1 to 120 matches the Rfam family "5.8S ribosomal RNA", at positions 35 to 154 of the family's 154-position model. The record is from RNAcentral.